RNAcentral lists this ribosomal RNA (464 nucleotides) under Agelas sp. EP15. Its description in RNAcentral is "partial large subunit ribosomal RNA". Lineage: Eukaryota; Metazoa; Porifera; Demospongiae; Agelasida; Agelasidae. The record is from RNAcentral.
UUGGAGAGAGAGUCAAAAAGACCGCGAAACCGUUAGGAGGGAAGCGAAUGCARCCAAAGUGGUUCUCAUUCAGGCUCAGGAGUUGUUGGCGUGCAGUGCUGGGAUGUCAGACGCCGUAGGGUGCUGCAACUCGGAUACAGCUGUCGACUGCUUUGCAUUCCUGAUGAGAACCGGCCAACGGCAGUUACCCCUGGCUCAAGAGGGUUGGUGGGAAGGUAGCUUCUUGGUUUACCGAGAAGAACUUAUAGCCACCAGUCUGGCAGUCUGGGAGUGACUGAGGAGUGCUGUGACUUUUCACACCCGCAGUACAGGCUCCCUAGGGGCCGGGUCCCUUCUGUCUGUGUGGGCAACACCACAGGGACUGCAUGCAGUGUCUGCGGAUGGAUGUGUGCUCAGGUGGGAGGUCGGCCACGUCUUGUGCUGUAGUCGUUGGUACCUAGAUGGCUUCAUUCGACCCGUCUUGA